RNAcentral lists this ribosomal RNA (476 nucleotides) under Candidatus Scalindua wagneri. Its description in RNAcentral is "bacterial SSU rRNA". It matches the Rfam family "Bacterial small subunit ribosomal RNA", at positions 365 to 832 of the family's 1533-position model. Lineage: Bacteria; Pseudomonadati; Planctomycetota; Candidatus Brocadiia; Candidatus Brocadiales; Candidatus Scalinduaceae. The record is from RNAcentral.
UUCGCAAUGCCCGAAAGGGUGACGAUGCGACGCCGCGUGAGCGAAGAAGGCCCUAGGGUUGUAAAGCUCUGUCGAGGGUUAUGAAAUGUAAACAGGUUAAUACCCUGUUUAUUUGACAAAAGCCCAAGAGGAAGUCACGGCUAACUCUGUGCCAGCAGCCGCGGUAAUACAGAGGUGGCAAGCGUUGUUCGGUAUUAUUGGGCGUAAAGAGCACGUAGGUGGUUUUGUAAGUCAGGUGUGAAAGCCUUCUGUUCAAAGGAAGAACGGCAUCUGAAACUGCAGAUCUUGAGUGUAGGAGGGGAGAGUGGAACUUCUGGUGGAGCGGUGAAAUGCGUAGAUAUCAGAAGGAACGUCGGCGGCGAAAGCGACUCUCUGGCCUAUUACUGACACUGAGGUGCGAAAGUUAGGGGAGCAAACGGGAUUAGAUACCCCGGUAGUCCUAACCGUAAACGAUGGGCACUAAGUAGAGGGGUUUU